GUGAGGAAUAUUGGUCAAUGGACGUAAGUCUGAACCAGCCAAGUAGCGUGCAGGACGAAGGCCCUAUGGGUUGUAAACUGCUUUUAUGCGGGGGUAAAGUGAGUGACGUGUCAUUCAUUGCAAGUACCGCAAGAAUAAGGACCGGCUAAUUCCGUGCCAGCAGCCGCGGUAAUACGGAAGGUCCUGGUGUUAUCCGGAUUUAUUGGGUUUAAAGGGAGCGUAGGCCGUCAGGCAAGCGUGUUGUGAAAUGUCGUGGCUCAACCAUGGACUUGCAGCGCGAACUGCCCGACUUGAGUGCGCAGAAAGCAGGCGGAAUUUGUGGUGUAGCGGUGAAAUGCUUAGAUAUCACGAAGAACCCCGAUUGCGAAGGCAGCCUGCUGUAGCGCUACUGACGCUGAAGCUCGAAAGUGCGGGUAUCGAACAGGAUUAGAUACCCGAGUAGUCC
This 445-nucleotide ribosomal RNA is filed under the name uncultured bacterium. Its description in RNAcentral is "partial 16S ribosomal RNA". It matches the Rfam family "Bacterial small subunit ribosomal RNA", at positions 354 to 796 of the family's 1533-position model. The record is from RNAcentral.